RNAcentral lists this ribosomal RNA (373 nucleotides) under uncultured organism. Its description in RNAcentral is "bacterial SSU rRNA". It matches the Rfam family "Bacterial small subunit ribosomal RNA", at positions 526 to 896 of the family's 1533-position model. The record is from RNAcentral.
CAGAGGGUGCAAACGUUGUUCGGAAUUACUGGGCAUAAAGGCGCACGUAGGUGGUCCGCUAAGUCGCGUGUGAAAUCCCUCGGCUCAACCGAGGAAUUGCGGGCGAUACUGGCGGGCUAGAGAUCGGGAGGGGUGAGUGGAACUCCAGGUGGAGCGGUGAAAUGCGUAGAUAUCUGGAGGAACACCGGUGGCGAAAGCGACUCACUGGCCCGACACUGACACUGAGGUGCGAAAGCUAGGGUAGCAAACGGGAUUAGAUACCCCGGUAGUCCUAGCCGUAAACGAUGGGUACUGGGCAGGGGGAAUAUCUAUGUUCUCUCUGCCGGAGCUAAUGUGUUAAGUACCCCGCCUGGGGAGUACGCUCGCAAGGGUA